RNAcentral lists this non-coding RNA (23 nucleotides) under Arabidopsis thaliana (thale cress). The record is from RNAcentral. Lineage: Eukaryota; Viridiplantae; Streptophyta; Magnoliopsida; Brassicales; Brassicaceae.
GAUCACCCGCGCUACGCCGCAGU